AUCAGAUCGACAUACUCCAUAUCCAGUCGUUUCAAAGAAGCUUUAGUCCCCUCGAUGAUAUGUUUCCUGGAUAAACCCUUGUCGUUGGGUCCUGGCCCUCCCCAAAACAGUUUAGUAGACACAACGAUGUCAGAGCGUUUCCAUCCGAGUUCUCGGAUUGCUUGUCCCAUGAUUUCUUCAGCUCGGCCAUUGGCGUAGACCUCUGCGUUGUCGAAGAAGUUGACGCCAUGGUCACGGCAACAUUGGAGUAGAGUUUUGGCUUCUUUUACGUCUAACUGGUUGCCGAAACUGACCCAUGCACCGUAUGAGAGCUGUGACACCUUCAAUCCUGAUCGACCGAGGUUCUUGUAUUCCAUAUUUUCCGAUUACCUGUGAUCAGAAAAGAUGAAAUGGAG
RNAcentral lists this long non-coding RNA (395 nucleotides) under Lactuca sativa (garden lettuce). RNAcentral's name for it is "long non-coding RNA (LSAT_LNC000376)". Lineage: Eukaryota; Viridiplantae; Streptophyta; Magnoliopsida; Asterales; Asteraceae. The record is from RNAcentral.